This 377-nucleotide ribosomal RNA is filed under the name uncultured organism. RNAcentral's name for it is "partial 16S ribosomal RNA". It matches the Rfam family "Bacterial small subunit ribosomal RNA", at positions 527 to 896 of the family's 1533-position model. The record is from RNAcentral.
GUAGGUGGCAAGCGUUGUCCGGAAAUUAUUGGGGCGUAAAGCGCGCGCAGGGCGGUCCUUUAAGUCUGAUGUGAAAGCCCACGGCUCAAACCGUGGAGGGUCAUUGGAAACUGGGGGACUUGAGUACAGAAGAGGAAAGCGGAAUUCCAAGUGUAGCGGUGAAAUGCGUAGAGAUUUGGAGGAACACCAGUGGCGAAGGCGGCUUUCUGGUCUGUAACUGACGCUGAGGCGCGAAAGCGUGGGGAGCAAACGAGGAUUAGAUACCCUGGUAGUCCACGCCGUAAACGAUGAGUGCUAAGUGUUAGUGGGUUUCCGCCCCUUAGUGCUGCAGCUAACGCAUUAAGCACUCCGCCUGGGGAGUACGGCCGCAAAGGCUG